Molecule: long non-coding RNA, 2131 nt
Organism: Triticum aestivum (bread wheat)
Lineage: Eukaryota; Viridiplantae; Streptophyta; Magnoliopsida; Poales; Poaceae
Exons: 2
Source: RefSeq, a predicted model, not a curated record
AUUACUUUUCUUCUAAUGGAUGCAUCGAAGCUAUUUGUCAUUUCUGCUCGAAAUUUGUUGACCAAUGCCUUUGCCAAAUGUGUCCAAAACUGUACUUACUUAGAUGUAGUGGAGAAAAUAUCCUGUGGUAACUGUCCUUAGAUGCAGUGGAGAAAAUACCCUGUGGUAACCAAGUUAUGAUGAAAAAUUCCAUGGAAACCACAUUUGGAAGUUCUGAAAUUGUAAAAAGAAAACAGCUUGUUAGGAGGAGAUGCUCAUGUGAAAUUUCUAGUUCAAACUCAUAUCCAUUCUGGAGGUAUGUAAAAACAAGUUCAUCUAGUGGUGUUUUACUAUUCACCACUAUUUUCUGAAUUUGUUUCUAUUAAUACCUCCCAAAUGAAUUUGAUUUUGAGCCUGAGAUGUUACAUGCUUAUAGAAAUUCACCUCCCCAACAUACUUUGUGUUUUGAUUUUUUUGGAUACCUUUUACACUUUAUGCUAAUUUCAGGGGCUGAUUUUUUUUCUCAGUCUAUUUGUUGCCCUUUAACCCUGUUAUGCCUGCGAUUGGCGGGGUGCCCAUUGUUUCCAGCCUCUGAAGCCCAUUAACAAUGGUUGUAUGGCCCAUUUGGGUGUCGCCUAAAUAGAUUACGCUUGCUGGAUCAAAUCUAUAGCUAAUUAGCCACCAGCAGUAAACAUAAGCUAAUCAGCCAGCAUUUGCUAAAAGAAAAGGUAGUUAGCAUCCAUAGGCAGAUCUCCAAGCUGCACCCAGCCUUGCACACAUUUUAAUUUGCUCUGUAGACACUUUAUAAUUCAUCCUUUGAAGAUUAUCAUAGAAUAGUUGCACUUUGUUCUUCUACGUUAUGGAGUAUUGCAAGCUACCUGUAAUCUACUCCCUCCGUUCCUAAAUAUAAGUCUUUUAAGAGAUUUCAAUAUGGACUACAUACGGAUGUAUAUAGACAUAUUUUAGAGUGUAGAUUCACUCAUUUUGCUUCGUAUGUAGUCCACAUUGAAAUCUCUAAAAGACUUAUAUUUAGGAAUGGAGGGAGUAUGUGCAUAAUUUCAAUCUUGAUCUUUUUAUUUGUUUUCCUGCGUAGUUUGCUAUUCUCUUUCUUUUCUGUCAGGGUAGAAAUUACUCCCAAGAUUUUUGCCUAUUAGUGCCAAAGGCGCACCUUCGCGCCCGCCCGCAGGCAGUUUGCUAACAAUUUCAGCUUCAAAUAAAUUGUUCUCUGAAUAACUCCAGCGGUCCAAUCAUUGCAAGCGCUGGGGCACCAACAAAAUCCUCACUGGUGUUACGGUGUUACCACGGGUAAUUAGACGAUAUGUAAGCCAGGAAACACAUAUAUACUGAGAGCAACAAAUUCUUUUUGAGUUAUAUAUAAGAGCAGUAUAAAAACAAAGAGAAAUCCUAACUGGGAAAAUUACACGGAACAACUGAGCCAAGUUCACUUAGAAAUUGAAACUAAUACAUGAUACAUCAUUUUUUUUUCUGCCAUGGUAAUAUUAUCAGUUCAGCAUGAUUAUCAGUCUACAAUCGCACCCAAACUUAGGAAAGUAAGACAUGCCAGGAAGUAGUACAAUACACUAAUUUGGUAGAAGUUUGAACAUAAAGUUGCGAUUGUUAGGCUCCAGUGCUCCACAGGAGGCGGGUGGCUCUCUAAAAUCUUCCAACCUGCUACCACUACCAUAAAGGCAAAUAGAACUGUGGAGAAGGCGUGAAUCAUCAGCUACUUGGUUAGGUCAUGGCCGUGACAUUUAAUGCUAUAUUGCUGUGCUAACCACUCCUAUGACACGUAUGGCAAUAGCAAACAAAGCAGGAUUACAUAACCAAAAGACUAUAACAGGCAUGAAAAUGGGACCUGGCAGCACCACACACAUCACUGAUUCAAUACAUGGCACCUCUCUUAGACCAACCUAGCAUGGACUUCUAAGAGUUCAGGUUCAUCUGUUCACCUUUUCGACCAACCAUGGAUAAAGUCUACCAGGUCAGAUCUAGUGAACCUUCGUCCAAACCAUGAAGCAUAACAGGACCAUUGACACAAGUAUGCCAUGUCAUAUACUGCACCCAGAUAUUCUGUAUAGCAGGACAAGAAUAGUUCACAGUUAUACACCAGACAAUUAGCUGUAAGUCUUACAUAAAUUCAUGCAACAACGAG